This 254-nucleotide ribosomal RNA is filed under the name uncultured bacterium. RNAcentral describes it as "partial 16S ribosomal RNA". It matches the Rfam family "Bacterial small subunit ribosomal RNA", at positions 524 to 776 of the family's 1533-position model. The record is from RNAcentral.
GACGAACCGUGCGAACGUUAUUCGGAAUCACUGGGCUUAAAGAGCGCGUAGGCGGAUUGCCGCGUCGGAGUCUGAAAUCCCCCGGCUCAACCGGGGAACUGGAUCCGAAACGGGCAGUCUUGAGGGACGUAGGGGGGGCUGGAACUUCCGGUGGAGCGGUGAAAUGCGUUGAGAUCGGAAGGAACGCCCGUGGCGAAAGCGAGCCCCUGGACGUCUGCUGACGCUGAGGCGCGAAAGCUAGGGGAGCGAAUGGG